UGCAGAAUCCCGUGAACCAUCGAGUCUUUGAACGCAAGUUGCGCCCGAGGCCUUUCGGUUGAGGGCACGCCUGCCUGGGCGUCACGC
This 87-nucleotide ribosomal RNA is filed under the name Lilium souliei. RNAcentral describes it as "partial 5.8S ribosomal RNA". It matches the Rfam family "5.8S ribosomal RNA", at positions 73 to 154 of the family's 154-position model. Rfam says of the family: 5.8S ribosomal RNA (5.8S rRNA) is a component of the large subunit of the eukaryotic ribosome. It is transcribed by RNA polymerase I as part of the 45S precursor that also contains 18S and 28S rRNA. Functionally, it is thought that 5.8S rRNA may be involved in ribosome translocation. The record is from RNAcentral. Lineage: Eukaryota; Viridiplantae; Streptophyta; Magnoliopsida; Liliales; Liliaceae.